This 253-nucleotide ribosomal RNA is filed under the name uncultured bacterium. RNAcentral's name for it is "partial 16S ribosomal RNA". It matches the Rfam family "Bacterial small subunit ribosomal RNA", at positions 524 to 776 of the family's 1533-position model. The record is from RNAcentral.
UACGGAGGGUGCGAGCGUUGUUCGGAAUUAUUGGGCGUAAAGCGCGCGUAGGCGGGACGACGAGUCCGGUGUGAAAACCCUCGGCUCAACCGGGGAAUUGCACUGGAUACUGGCGACCUUGAGUCCUGGAGAGGGUGGCGGAAUUCCCAGUGUAGAGGUGAAAUUCGUAGAUAUUGGGAGGAACACCGGUGGCGAAGGCGGCCACCUGGACAGUGACUGACGCUGAGGCGCGAAAGCAUGGGUAGCAAACAGG